GACGAACGCUGGCGGCGUGCUUAACACAUGCAAGUCGAACGGAAAGGCCCUUCGGGGUACUCGAGUGGCGAACGGGUGAGUAACACGUGGGUGAUCUGCCCUGCACUUUGGGAUAAGCCUGGGAAACUGGGUCUAAUACCGAAUAGGACCACGCGCUUCAUGGUGUGUGGUGGAAAGCUUUUGCGGUGUGGGAUGGGCCCGCGGCCUAUCAGCUUGUUGGUGGGGUAAUGGCCUACCAAGGCGACGACGGGUAGCCGGCCUGAGAGGGUGACCGGCCACACUGGGACUGAGGUACGGCCCAGACUCCUACGGGAGGCAGCAGUGGGGAAUAUUGCACAAUGGGCGCAAGCCUGAUGCAGCGACGCCGCGUGAGGGAUGACGGCCUUCGGGUUGUAAACCUCUUUCAAUAGGGACGAAGCGCAAGUGACGGUACCUAUAGAAGAAGCACCGGCCAACUACGUG
This 462-nucleotide ribosomal RNA is filed under the name uncultured bacterium. RNAcentral's name for it is "partial 16S ribosomal RNA". It matches the Rfam family "Bacterial small subunit ribosomal RNA", at positions 28 to 507 of the family's 1533-position model. The record is from RNAcentral.